AUGUGUGUUAACUUCAAGUGCAAAUAUGCCUACAUGACUGCACGAGUCCACUGGGCGAAAGCACUAGCGAGUACCUCGAAACUUAAUCUGAAACCAAGUGGUUUAUGCUUAUGUGGCUACACAAACCUGCUAAAGGUGAGUAACAAAGUGAUAUUGCCUACAUGGCCUCACGACCCCCACCAUACCGAUAAUCCAGGUGAGUAUCCAAGUGAGUAA
Vicia faba (fava bean) is the source of this 216-nucleotide non-coding RNA. NCBI's taxonomy places the organism in Eukaryota, Viridiplantae, Streptophyta, Magnoliopsida, Fabales, Fabaceae. The record is from the annotation of a GenBank genome assembly.